This 4838-nucleotide long non-coding RNA is filed under the name Xyrichtys novacula (pearly razorfish). Lineage: Eukaryota; Metazoa; Chordata; Actinopteri; Labriformes; Labridae. The record is from RNAcentral.
AGAUAAAACUCUGACUUGUGCAAAAGUCAUAUUCCUCUCACUGCGUCCCAGUUUAACCUCUCCGCUCCUAGCUGCAGCUUGUUGCGUCAUUAUGAAUAUUCAAAUCACAGAAAGAAAGAAAGAAGAGAAACACUUCAUGCAUUUAUAUCAGCUGCAGAUCCAUAGAGACGAGGAACCAUGCUGCUUAAAACCCAAAUGUUCUGCAGUGCGUUCUUGACUUUUGAAUCUCCUGAGAGUUAAUCAAAGGAGUCGUGAGAGAUGUGUUUCAACGCUGCAAAAAGCUCAGUAAAGUUAUGAAUUUUUUGUGGUUAAAUGGCGGAAAAAGGAAAGCAGAAACACUUCUCUUCCAAAUAAAAGACAAACUUAAAUUCAUUUUAUCAUCAUUGCCUUUAUAUGAGAUGUUCAAACUGUAUUUAUUCCUAUCAGGAAUAAUGGUGUAAACAUGGCUGACAGAGUGAAUACAGACCUAACAAAGUAUCACAGUAAUGACCGGUUAUUGAGGUACUUUUCAAACAUUUCACAAUAGAAAUCCAAAUCUUUCUGCUCCAUACCGUACUGCAGCAGUUUAUUUGGUGGAAAUGCACCUUUAGUUGUGGUAUCUAUGUACUUAAGGGAGAGAGACUGUUGGGAGUGGGUUAGUCCAGUCUCACUGUGGGAACAAUAGGAGCACAAACACAUGAUGGGAGGAGGUUAAGAGAAGCACUGGAGGUGUUAUGGAUGGUUUCAUGUCUUGACUCUUCUGUUUAGGGUUUCAGCUCUGAAUCCUGCUUCACACACACUCAUUAGUUCUUGGUCAACCAGGUGGGAAUACUGGGAGAAUUAUCUGCACAUUUGUAGUGAUGAGGAAACCUGCACAAUGUCUCAAAACGAGUUCAAAAUGAGGACUAAUUUGUUCCAGGUUUCGUAUCAUGUGGCAGCAGAAUUUGUGCUCAAACUCAGAAACAUUCAGUACAGUGAGGAAUAAUCUGUUAUUCCCCUCCUGAAUACUGGAACAUAUUGUAUCCCGGUGCUGCUCUCUGCACGUGUUACUGUAAUGGUCUCGGUCUGGAUGCAAACAUUAAACCCCCUUUAGAGACUGAGUGUGAACACGUUUUGCUUGAUGCUCUUCCUGAAUCUUCAGAAACAUGGCCACCUGCCUGCCAGCCUGAACAGUUUCCAUUACUCCACGCUCUCACGGGCUGGGUGGCGUGCCAGGUUCAGCCGCUCCCUCUUCCCAUGGCCCUCGGCUGCCCGAUGACCGAUACGCUGCAGCGCAGUGACAGAACGGGAAGGGCUUUCAGGGGUCACAUGUUCCCAAACAUCCAUGUCAGACCGCCUGACUUCCCAGACCGCUGUGGUUCUGGAAUCAUUAUCAGGAGAGGAGGGACUAAAGCUGUUUGUGACAGCACCUGCAGAUCAGACAGGUGUGAACAUGAGUGUGGAUAUGAAUCUGAGACGGUUAGAGUUUAUUUGUCUUCUUUUAGUUUAGAUGUUUGUAAAAGUCAUUUUCAGGUCUCACAAAUCCACUCACUUUCUAAUGCAAAUUAAACCGUCACUAUAAAAAUCCUGCAUGUCUUUGGACCAUGGGUUUGUUUUCAAACAGCAACUAAAGGAUAAAUACAAAAUAAAAGACAUGUGCCAAAGUUUAAAAAGCUGUACACUUUUUGACCAAGACAACCUAGAGUAGAAAAAUUUGUCCAUUUAAAACAUUAUCAUAAAAGUUCCAACUCUUAUAAGUGUAUUCUGAUGAAAUUACAACUUUAUCCUGGAAAUUUCCAAAAUUAUCCUUAAAAAAUUCCAACUAGAAUCUUCAGAGACAUACCAAGACUAAAAAAAUAUAUAUACCUGAAAACAUAUAGCCUUAUACACAAAAAAUACAUUACGUUCUUAAAAUUGUACAACUUUAUCAUCCAGAAAUUCUGUGAUUAUCCCUCAAAACUUUUAAAUUCACCCCCCACCAAUCUGAAUUCAUUCUGAGAUAUAAAAAAAAAUGGGUCCAAUUUUAAACUUUAACUCUAUCCUUGAAACAUUCAAGCUUUAUCCACCAACACCUACAUUUUUAUUCACAGCAGAAAUUUGCUUGAGGAGUGACGAUAGUCCUUAAAACUACGUACAGCUUUACCCAGGGAAAAACAACAUUUUUAUCAUGAAGAGAAAAUAACUUGAUCCUUUAUCCUUAAAAACAAAAAUAUUUUUUUCUGGACAAAUUUAAACCUUUUCCUUUCCCACCCACUCUACCAAGAAUGUCAUCAGUAAAAUAUUACAGCUAAUCUUUUGGACAACAGAAAGAAAUUCAACCUAUAUUAAGACAAAUUGUACAACUUUAUCAUUUAUUUCGUUAGAUCACCACCAUAAAAUCUUUAAACGAAUCAUGACAAACAGCACCCAUCUCCCCCGUCUGUGAGCAGUAACGUUUUUUUGGGAUAGGGGUUUUGGUUGAGGGCACUUGAGUGAGGGUAAUGGGUGGGAAUAUUCGGGUGGGGUUUCAGUGGCAGACGUCCAGGCUCUUCUCAGGAAACUGAAUCAGGCUGGGAGUGGUUCCCUUUCCCUUAUCGCCGUAUCCUGUCCUCCACUCUAUGACGAUGGCACUUUUAACACCGUUCACACCCUCAGCAGGCACACUGACCCCGACUGAUCAGACUGACUCUUUACACACUCUUCAAUCUGCCUGAACACACACACAAACACAUAUUCACACAUCUCCUGCUGAAUACGCACUCACAGACGGUGGAGCUUUAAGAGUCUGUUUCCUGUUUUAUGAGCGAACAAGGGAUCAAAGAGUGAAAGACUGAAAUACACAAAGAAACGAGCCAGUGGACGAGUGAGCGGAGAGGAAACUGAAGCUUCAGACCUGAUGUUGAGUCUGAAGCAGAUCAACAGGAACAUUUCAGAGUUUUUUCCCUGAGUUUGGUUUAUGUUCUGGAAAUUCUGCUGUUAGAGUUCAUACACAGAGAGCUGGAGGCCUCUGGACAGAGAUUAUUCAGCCUGUUACAUAAUAACUUUAUCAGCAUACAUAGGUAUGGGUUUAAAAUUGAUUACAUAAUGCCUAUACCAGCACUUUGAGUUAUGGAUUUAUAGUGUAUAAAACAGGGUGAAACUGCUGACUGAAAUGAAAGAAUCAGAGAUUUUAAGAAUAAAUUUUUGAAUAACAUCAAAACAAAACAAAAUUUUAAGAGAAUAGAAGCUGAAUAAACAACAAUAAAGUUUAAGGGGAAAAAUAAAAUUUGGUAUUUUACAAAAAAUAAAAUAAAAAUUUAUAGGAAUGACAUUUUUAAAAGUUAAAGAGUAAAGUUGUAGUUUUAUACUGCUGCCUUCCCUGCCUCUGGAAACAAGACAAAUGCACGGAUUAAAAGUGUGCUCUACCCAUCUCAGGUACGUAAAGGGCAGGAAGCUCUCAGAACAAACCCUUUGUUGCUGUUCUCCCCACCUUAACUCUUCAUGUAUGCACAUAAAACAGAAGGGAGGUGUGAAAAGAGCUCUUAGAUUAAAGCCGUGAGGAUCUGUUCUGCUGCUCUCUAACUGCUAACUGUAAUUUACUGUAAUGAUUAAUUUCUUGAGGAUACAUUUGACAGAAUUGAAAAGUUAGACUUUGACUUUGAUGUGAAGAAGGAAAAGUUGAGAAUGACUCUAUCCACUUCUGUUUUCUCGAUAAAAAUGUACACUUCAUAUGUUGUUUUUGUCAUUUAAAUCUCCAAGUCUUGGCUGUACUCUGCUGCAUAUUUUAUCUGUACAGUCAUCCUAUUUCUCAGUGUGUUUAUGAUUUCAGCCUGACUCUCUCUGAGUAGGUUUACAGCUUCAUAUGCUGACCAGCUGUGUCAUGAAGUGACUCCAAAACAUCCUGAGAGCUCACAGGGAGAAAACAGCCUGUACUCAGACCGUUACAUAACCUGACCUUUGAGCCGCUGCACUCUCUUUUAUCUCUGUUUAAACAGGAGCUCACAUUUAGCUCUGUUUAAAGGGAAUCAUCGCUUCUCUGAAGAUUGACUGCUUUGUUUAUUCUACCUGUUCGAGUCUCUGAGCUUUGAGACAAAUCUGGCUUCUCAUGUUUAGGUUUUAUGUUUCUGAUCAGGGGUAUUAGGAGAGUGCCUGCAGACAAAUCUCAGGGCAAACUGUGCAGAAAAGGCUGCAUGUCUUUGGCUUGUCUUUAAUCCCUCUCCACGUUUACAGAUUUCCCUUCAAAGACGGUUUAUCUCUAAUUAAACAUUAUUAAAGUCCUUCUGAUGUGAAAUCCUUGCGACAUAAAAGAGCUGCUGCCGGAAAAUCAGCUGCAGAAAAAAAAAAAACGUAAAGGACAAAUCUGCUUUCAGUUAUCAGGGUCUUAUGACAUGAUUUCCUCGAUUUGCUGUCUGUGUUCCUGCUGAUAAUGAUAAAAUUAAGUUUAUGUGAGUGCAGCAUCCUGUUUACAUUGUACCUCAUUUUACACACACAGUAUCUUAUUCUUCAUUUUAAAUUUAUAUGGCCUCAUUGAUUUGACUUUGUUGAACUCUUUGCCCAGGAAGUCUCUCACAAAAUGUCAAACCUCCUCUGUUCCUUUCUGCAGAGUUGCUCAGCCUCUAUGAAAUCCCUCAAUUAUACUCAGAUGUUCAAACGUGGAAGUUGCUAAGUGUUAAUGUAAGCUGAGUACUGAUUGGUUAAUAAGUUUAUUUGUAGCUGUUCAUCAGUUUGGGAGCUGUGACGCGCAAAAUCAUUUAUGAAGGUUUGGUUGAAUUCAGACCUAAACAGCAGAAAGUCUUGAAAACUGUGUUUGGACUUACGAUACGAUACAAUACGAUACAAUACGAUACAAUACGAUACGAUAUGAUACGAUACGAUACGAUACGAUAUGAUACGGUACAAAACAAUAUAACAUGAUAUGAUAC